AAAGAGCCUAAAACAAAUGAGAAAUGUUUGUGUUUUAAGGUUUGUGUGUUUCUACCGAUAUAGUGUUAGAAUUUAAUUAACCAUGAAUUAAUUAAGAAGAAUCUAUGCUAACCAUCGUGUCGUUUCCUUUGUUCUUAUUGAUCACAACGAUACAUUGCCAUCUCCUGCACGGCCCGACCGGUCCGCCAAGGCCCGUUUCAAAAAUCCAGUGCUUAGGCCAGACGGGCUUGUCCAUGGGUUGGGCUUAGGUCUGAGUUUUGAGCCUGCUAGCAUGGUUCGGUUGGACUUGGGUUUGGUAUAUUAAGAUUUUAAGAAAAAGGUCUCGCCUCCGGCUGUACGCCCGACAUGUUUUUCAAC
This 357-nucleotide long non-coding RNA is filed under the name Hordeum vulgare. RNAcentral describes it as "long non-coding RNA (HVUL_LNC019653)". Lineage: Eukaryota; Viridiplantae; Streptophyta; Magnoliopsida; Poales; Poaceae. The record is from RNAcentral.